Molecule: non-coding RNA, 114 nt
Organism: Acanthosepion pharaonis
Lineage: Eukaryota; Metazoa; Mollusca; Cephalopoda; Sepiida; Sepiidae
Source: the annotation of a GenBank genome assembly
UUACGGCCAUAUAACGUUGAAACACCGGUUCCCGUACAAUCAUCGAAGUUAAGCAACGGUAAGCCUGGUCAGUAUUUACAUGGGUGACCGCUUUGGAAAAGCAGGUGCUGUAAG